CCAGAGAGGGAAGUAUCCUGUGGACCUUGCAUGAGAGUCACAGCUGGAGAUGGGACAUUGAACAGCGUGGACCAGUGCUCUGAGGUCGUACAGAGAAUCCUCUUUCUUAGCUGCCUGCCUGCAUUGGACCCAGCCCUGUUCUCCCCUUGCCUCGCUCCUGCUAUCCUGCUUCUGACUCUGGGGUCCAGCUCCUGACUCUGGCUAUGUUUCCUGACUCCUGCUUAAACCACUAGGUCUGUGUCUGGCUUAUGUUGUCCUGGUCACUGCCACCUGUGACCUAGAGAAGGAGAGGACUGCUGAUUUAUCCUCUGAACAGCUGCCCACUAGGAACUGGAGUUGAGGCAACUAAUUUUACAUCAGCCACUGAACACUUCACAUGGAAAGCCGAUACUGUCAGAGAAAAUCUUCACUGAACUGACACCUCAAUUUUCCGUCAAAAACAGAUUCAACAGAAAAUUUUCAGCCAGCUGUAGUAUCAUGCUACAAUAACCUGACACAAAAGCCUUCUCUAGCAUUUCAGCUUCAGCUUGAAUUCUACUUAUGAGGUGAAAUUCUGCCCUCACUGAAGUCAACUGGAACUUCUUUAACUACACAAAGACACAUGGCCAGCUCUACUUUUUCUUCCUCAUGUGAGUAGUCCCAUUUGAUUUCAGUGGGUUUACUCAUGUGGGGAAAACAGAAUUUGGCCAACAACUAACAACCAAGCUUCACGUUUAAUAAUUUGUGGAAAAUAAUAGGAUAAUAAAUUAUGGAUAAUAAAGAUCAGAUAAUUAGAAACCUUUCCUGUCUCUUCAAAUCUAUGUUUAAAUGUGACCUCCACCAGAGAUUAUUGGCAGGAUAGAUAGGGGAAACAUACCAUCAUUUGGGUUUUUCAGAUGCUGUUUAUGUGAAGAAUCCAUUUUAUGCAAGACUGAGAAUCAGAACCUUAGAUGUCACUGACAUAUGAGUAAGCCUUCUUCAUCAAGCAUCAGUACUGAUAACAUUUAUACGACCUAAAACAUAUUGCUUUUUAAUGUCAAGAGAGGUAACAUUGUCACCAGUAACACUAUUAUCUGUUUCUUUCUUUCAUAUAUUUGUUCCCUUCCACAAAGAUAUAAAUUAAUUUAGAACAUAAUGUUGUUACCUCACACGAAGCAUUUUCUUGCAUGGUCCAAAAAUUCAUUUUGUUUAGCUGCUUGAAUGAAAUUAUUUCUUCGUUAAAUGUGUAGUAGAUAUUUUUCGAUUGAUCUUUCUGGGGAAUAUUGAGUAUUCUAUAUUAUGGUGUAUCACAGUUGUCAGUGCCCUGCAUGAAGUAAAGUAUAUUCCAUCCCUGGUGGAAU
This is a long non-coding RNA of Mauremys mutica (yellowpond turtle), 1319 nucleotides long. RefSeq lists it as uncharacterized. The transcript is spliced from 5 exons. The record is from RefSeq and is a predicted model, not a curated record. NCBI's taxonomy places the organism in Eukaryota, Metazoa, Chordata, Testudines, Geoemydidae.